UCACUUUUCAAUCGUUAUUAUUAUAGAUAUUAUAUAGAUUAAUAAUUGUUCUCAUUCGAUGAGCGUCCAGUGACUCUACAUUUAUCAACAUUAGGAAAGUUACCAACAUUAGAUUGCACAAUUCUUUUAUAGAGAGAGAGACUUAAGUGAGAACUCAGCUGUUCGCGUCCGUCGCGUCAUCGCGUUUCGUGUGCCGCUCUUGCGGUCCCUAUGUCAGUGUAUUUUUAAAAUUUUGUGUCGAAUAGUUAAUAAAAAUCAUCAUCAUGGUGUCCAGCACAUUUGAGCUUAACAGAUUGAUGAACGAGUUAGAGAUAACCGAACUAGAGGGUAUUAAUUCUUCGAAAUAUACACCUGCAAAAGUUUAUAUGCGACUGCUGGCUAUCUAUCUUCAUCAGAAUGAUCUGUGCAACGCAAAGUACCUUUGGAAGCGAAUUCCCGCGGACGUGAAGACCGCCCACGAGGAGCUCGGACGAGUGUGGACGGUAGGGCAAUACAUGUGGCAGCGUAACUGGCCCGCGGUUCACACGGCCCUUAACGUAGAGUGGAGCGACGACAUCAAAGACCUUAUGAUAGCCCUAAAAGACAAUGUACGAGAACGGCUAAUGAGGCUGAUAUCAAAGGCGUAUUCCUCUCUAAACUUGUCGACCAUGGCGACGAUGAGCGGAAUGUCGUUGGACGAGGCGCGGCAGGCCGCGAUCGACAGGGGCUGGAACGUUGACGGUACCAUAGUGCAGCCGUGCAAACAGAUCGACGAGGAACAGUACAAUCAAUCGGAUAAGAUCUGCCUGACGGAGGAGCAGCUGCAGAAGCUCACGCAGUUUGUGUCCUUCCUGGAGAAUUGAGGGGGCUCCGCUGUUCCCUGGAUCUCCCGGGUUGCCGUGCGGUCUCUGGAUGACGGACUUUGCAUAUAACUCCUCUCGCAAUCUCGCCUCGUAAUCCUAUUAUAUAAAGGAGGAAGUGCGCGCCAAAGGUAGCAUCAUCGGUGUUCGCGUUCGUAAAAUAAGCAUAUCCCAUGAGAGAAAUUGAGAGGGGAGAAUGAGGGAGAGAGGGGGGAGGAGGGAGAACGAGAGAGAAGAGGGAAAGUGACAGAGAUAGAGACAGAGAGUCUACCCACGCGAUUUGUCCGUUCGAUCGGAAGGAUAAUUCAAUGAAGCUCCUCGCAAGCGUGGAAUCAACAACUAUAUUAAUCGAUAAUCAGCUGUGCGUGCGAGAGGGCGGACUGGCAUUUGCGGAAAGGGAUCCUCCGGCAGGAGCACUCCUCUCCUCUCGUCUUGUCUCCGUUCCGUCCUUUGCCGCUCCUCUCCUCCACUCGCUGUUGAAUCCCAUGAAAAUACACUGCCGUUCGCGACCGUUCGCAUCGCUGUAAUUAUCAAAGCGGAUCGUGGCCGCAGUAAGAAUCGCGCAGGUAGCCGUUAACGUACCUCGCAGGUGGCGACAGCGCACACCUCUCUCUCUUCAGCGCGGACACGCGCGGCGUGCGAACGUGUUAUCACGCGUGGACUCUUCGUACGUAGCGUAUUUUCUUCGAGUCGAAAUAAAAGAGGAAAGGAAGUCGAGAGAAAAGUAAGAAAAAGGACUGGAACUGUUUCGAGCGGCGGAUUGCCCCGCUGGAUUUUGAUAAAGUGUGUUACAGCAGCAAGGAUCUUGCAUUCAUCACAUUGAUAUUCAUCGAAGUGAAUACUCGAUACUCGUCUACUGAAAAGCCCGGAAGCAGACUAUUUCCAGGCACCAGUUGCCGUUUUUCCCGCGCUCGUAGCACAUCGGGGGCGUAGGGUAAGUUUUUUAACCCUUUUUUUCAGUGGACGUAAAUAUGUCGAUCGCCAGAGAGAGAGAGAGAGAGAGAAAGAGAGAGAGCCGAUGGUUAACCAAACGCGUUCUAAUCUCGUUAGGCUGAAUGACGUCAGGCCCCAUCCUCUCGCGUCCUUCCAAUUUGCGGCCAUGGAUGAUUAGACAUCAUCUAUCGAUGACUUUUUUGCCGCGCGCGAAACCAGGCGAGAGCAUCGAUCGUUUUUUCUGACGGCCGGCGCGCCGCAAACGCGCGCUUCGCGUCUUAUCAAAUCUCGAAGAUCGCAAUAAUCGCCAUCUGCGAUCUCGCGUUAUCGUUGUAACUUGUAGGCCGUCGCGCCGAGUAAUAUUUAGCGAUCUCUUUAAUCGACCUGUUACAUUAAAAUAAAAAAUCCAUCGCAAAAAUGAUCGAUUAAGAAAUAUCGUCGGGUAACCCCGACUUUUUUUUUGCCAAGUGCUAAUUAUUGUUUUUGAUUAUAAUUAUCUUGACUAUAAUUAUCGCGCGUCAAGGCUUAAUUUAAUUAAAAUGCUAUGUUAAUUUCACACUAGAAGUAAAUGAUAUUAUAAAAUAAUAAUGUUCACACACUAUGUGACCUUACAGUAAAAAUCACUGAUCUAACCGAAGUGAUCGACUCAUCGGUGUCUCGUUGUUUUGCUGUUAUUAUAUACAUAUCAGUAACUUGACAUUAAAUUGAAACCGCCCAUCGUCAUCCGGUAUCUUUGCAGUAGGAGUCACAGAAAUGUCAUAUGUUCCGGUAUAUAAGAUAUAUAACUCAUUUCAGGGACAAUACUCUCUCUACGUCCUGUCUUUCUUCCACAUAAAUUUAUCUACCGCCAUAAUAUGUUAUGAUAAAUUGUGCGUUUAAAACAAAAAUGGACAGUCUCUGACGCACGCGACGUGGACGAUCUUAUCGAUGAUGUGCGUUUAGCGGAGUCGUCGUUGUCGUCGGGAUUCGUCCCGCGUUAUUAGCGAUGACAGUGGAUCUCACAAUCAGAUGAAUGGAGUCCAGGGGAAUCUGAUGGCUCCAUAACCGUCGUCGUCGUCGUCGUCGUCGUCUGUUCCGGGUGGCGGCCACCAACGUCGCGCACGACUUCUCUUCCAAUGGUUCUCACCUAUCGCAACCGCAGUUAUUUAACAAUCGUUCCGUACUGUUGCGCUUGUAAUUAGACACGAUCGUGUUAGCGAGAGAUCGGGAGGUAUGGAGGCGACCGAAUGUCGGCCACGUGUCUCUCGGCAAUAUUUUUUCUCCCCCCCUUGGCAGUAUCGUAAAUUAGUACAAAAUGUCGCAUUAGUCAAGAUUCCUUGAGAUUAGAAACGCGUCGAGUAUUAUGAAAUGCCUCUUGCAUUACGCAUUAUAUAGAAAAAAAAAA
RNA transcript from Monomorium pharaonis (pharaoh ant), 3156 nucleotides. It is a transcript of the gene named COP9 signalosome complex subunit 8, with no coding region annotated. The record is from RefSeq and is a predicted model, not a curated record. The transcript has 5 exons. Lineage: Eukaryota; Metazoa; Arthropoda; Insecta; Hymenoptera; Formicidae.